Molecule: ribosomal RNA, 253 nt
Filed under: uncultured bacterium
Lineage: Bacteria
Description: partial 16S ribosomal RNA
Rfam family: Bacterial small subunit ribosomal RNA
Source: RNAcentral
UACGGGGGGGGCAAGCGUUGUUCGGAAUUACUGGGCGUAAAGGGCUCGUAGGUGGCCAACUAAGUCAGACGUGAAAUCCCUCAGCUUAACUGGGGAACUGCGUCUGAUACUGGAUGGCUUGAGUUUGGGAGAGGGAUGCGGAAUUCCAGGUGUAUCGGUGAAAUGCGUAGAUAUCGGGAGGAACACCUGUGGCGAAAGCGGCUCACUGGACCACAACUGACGCUGAGGCGCGAAAGCUAGGGGAGCAAACAGG